CCCACCUGUAGGUCCCGGUGCCACCUCGUCAGUGUCCCGAGAGAUCCCCAGAAGAACGAGAGGGCUGAACAGGGGACCCCACUGACGUCCGGUCUCUAUGAAGUCAGAGCUAUUACUAUCAGCAUUUUACCCAUGAAGAAACCGAGGUUUAGAGAGAUUCUUUUCCAGGAACUGGAUAGCCAGCAAGAUGUGAAGCAGGAUGAAGAAACUAAGACUCAGAGAAGACAAAUGACAUGCCCAAAGACACAUUGAUAAGAACGCAUCUGGUAGUGGUGUUCGAGUCCAGCGUUGCAGCAGAGAGAUGGGUAACUGUAUGGCCGAACAGCUGUCUUCUCGUGGAAGAAGGAGGCCAAUGUCCAGGAGUGGCAGGCAUACUGGAACUUGGACUUCUGUAGGCCAACCUGGGUUCCACUUGGUAGAUGGGGGUCUUGCUGUGUUGCCCAGGCUGGUCUCAAACUCCUGGCCUGAAGCAGUCCUCCUCCCUUAGCCUCCAGAGUAGCUGGGACUACAGGUACACACCACUGCAACCCCUCAGUGGUUGUUAUUUAACUGAAGGGGGUUUUAGCUUUCAUGUAUCAGCUCACUCUGGAGCCAGACAGCCUGGCCUUCAUGGCAGCUCUGCCCCUUACUACCUGUGUGACAUCGGGCAACGUUACUGAGUGUCAGAUUUCUUAUUUGUAAAACAGGGAUAAAAAUGACAUUGCUGUGCAAAUUAAAAGAAAGAAUCCAUGUGAGAUAUUUAGCACACUGGCAUACAAUGAGAGCUUAAUAAACAUUGUUAGUUUUGUAAACUGAGGGAAAAAAAUAGCCACAGGCCUGGGAACAUAAAUGCUUGGUAAGCUUCUCAGUUCCCUGGAAGUCUGACACGCAAUGUGUAUGUAUGAACAAGGCAGGAGGAAGCAUGACACCAAGCCUUCCUUUUAACAAACACUGUUUAAAUCAGAGGUCGGAAGUCAUGGACUGGAGAUUCAUUCUCUCCCCACUCAUUUCUGCCCAGAGACACCUGGUGAUCUGGCAUACACAGUGCUAUGAACCUCAGAAUUAUUUGCUAGCAUUUACAAAUUGUGAGUACUCCCACAUACAAACUGUGGUAGAUGGAAUAAUGCCUCCCCACAAAAAUGUCCACAGCCUAAUCCCUGGAACCUGGGAAUAUGUUACUUUACACAGCAAAGGAAUGUUGCAGCUGUGAUUGGAGAUUGAGAUAGGGAGAGUGUAUUAGUCUGUUGUCAUGCGGCUAUGAAGAAAUACCUGAGACUGGGUAAUUUACAAAGAAAAGAGGUUUAAUUCACUUACAGCUCAGCACGGCUGGUUGGGGGGGCGCCCUCAGGAAAUUUACAAUCAUGGUAGGAGGCACCUCUUCACAGGGUGGCAGGAGAGAAAAUAAGAGCAGAGCGAAGGGGGAACCCCUUAUAAAACUGUCAGAUCUCAUGAGAACUCACUGUCAUGAGAACAGCAUGGGGGAAACCGCCCCCAUGAUCCAUCACCUCCACCUGGUCCCCCCCUUGUUACAAUUCAAGGGGAUUGUAACAAUUCAAGGUGAGAUCUGGGUGGGGACACAGAGCCAAACCAUAUCAGAGAGUCUUCCUGCAGUGUCCGGGUGGGUGCGGCAUGUUCAUAGGGUCUUAGAAGAGGGAAGCAAGAGGUGAGAGGACAGAAAUGCCACAUUGCUGGCUUUGAGGGUGGGGCCAGAGGAGGGACCUGCAGGCAGAGAUAGAGCUGGAAAUGGAAAGGAAACCUUCUCCCUUAGAGUCUCCAGAAGAAGUGCAGCCCUACAGACCUGUGUUAGGCUUCAGACCUCCAGAAUUGUAAAAUAAUAAAAUUGCAUUAUUUUAAGCCACUCGAGGCCCAUGUCCUCAACAAAGAGAAAGACGGUGGGGUGCUGUCAGCCAGGGUAGGUACCUGCUUGGUGGUCUGGGUCCUUUCCCACUGUGUCCAUUCAGUUACAUUACCUGCCCAUCUGCUGAGGCCUCGAGUUUGGGACCUCAGGUUUAUAUAAUUCCUUGCACAAGCAUGAUCGAUUGAUUCCGGAGAGUAGCAGAACACUGAUAUGCAGGGGAAUCUCCUAGUUCCAAGUGUGAGUUGUAGUCUAGACACUUCCUGUU
RNAcentral lists this long non-coding RNA (2102 nucleotides) under Homo sapiens (human). RNAcentral describes it as "HSALNT0397166". The record is from RNAcentral. Lineage: Eukaryota; Metazoa; Chordata; Mammalia; Primates; Hominidae.